Molecule: long non-coding RNA, 1098 nt
Filed under: Piliocolobus tephrosceles (Ugandan red Colobus)
Lineage: Eukaryota; Metazoa; Chordata; Mammalia; Primates; Cercopithecidae
Description: lncRNA (ENSPTEG00000018628.1)
Source: RNAcentral
AUUGAAGUUAAAGGGCUUUUAGAAAUUGUUAAUUCUAAAGAAUUCGUAAAAAAUAUAAAUGCAGAAAAUUUAUAUAUAAGAACAAAAAAUGAAAGUAUGAAUAUUAAGAACAAGCGUUCAUUCAGUGUCCAAAUAAAGCAAUACCAAAAAAAGCAGUCACAAAAAAGUCAGUUUCCAACUUAAUAGUUCAAAAGACUGCUCCCAAACCGAAUCUUAAACAAAUUUUAAGAACACCUAAAUUAGAAUAUGUUCCAAAAAAAGCUUCUUUGUUAACAAAACCACUCGAAAAAAUAUCACACCCAUUAAACAAAAGUCGUUUUAACAAAACUGAAAAUCUGGAUAAAAAACUAGAUCCUACUAAAGCAAAAAAUGUUAUCAAAUAUUCACUGAAAAAAACGAAUGUUCCGAAAGAUUCAAAAAUUAAAUUAAAAGAACCAGUUAUAGCAAAGUUUGGACUGUCUUCAAAAACUGGUAAUGAAGAAACCCCCCCAAACAUUAAUACUUCGGAAGCAAUAAAUAAGACUGCUAUAAGAUUAUCUAAUAAAAGUGUUCCUAUAUUAAAUAAGCAUAAAGGUAUCAAGAGCAAAGCAGAACCACCUAAAAGCAAUUUAAAAAAUACAUUGCGUUAUUUAAAAAUUGCUACAGAAAUGAAAAAUAAGGAAACUGAAUCUGCGAAAGUAAAAACAGAUAUAAUAAAUGACAAUGAAAAUAAAAAGGAUAUUCCAUCAAAUAGUAGCAAACCUACAAUGAAAAAAAAAACUUUAUCAAAAAAUUCCACAAUUAAAGGUACAUCUACUAAAGCAUCUAAAGGAUUAUUAGAUCCGAAAUCAAGAAAUUUAUCAAAAAAACCAGCUUCGAAAAUAUCAAGCGAAUUAAAACUUAAAGACAAAGAAAAAAAAAAAAAAAUAUUACCUAAAAAUGCGAAAGAUAAUAAAGAACGAGUGUCGUCUAAGCAAUUGGCAGAAAAUGACACCAGUAAAUCAAAUGACAAAAAAACGAAUACUGAUACAAUCGCAAGUGAAGAUUAUGAAACAAAUGAUAAAAAAGUUGAAGAAGUUGUUGAAGAUGUAGUUGAUGAUAAAGAACAAAAGGAAAUAA